RNAcentral lists this ribosomal RNA (261 nucleotides) under uncultured bacterium. RNAcentral describes it as "partial 16S ribosomal RNA". It matches the Rfam family "Bacterial small subunit ribosomal RNA", at positions 92 to 354 of the family's 1533-position model. The record is from RNAcentral.
UUAAGUGCGGACGGUGAGUAACGCGUGGGUAACCUGCCGUAUACAGGGGGAUAACACUUAGAAAUAGGUGCUAAAACCGCAUAAGCGCACAGCGCCGCAUGGCGCAGUGUGAAAAACUCCGGUGGUAUACGAUGGACCCGCGUCUGAUUAGCCAGUUGGCAGGGUAACGGCCUACCAAAGCGACGAUCAGUAGCCGGCCUGAGAGGGUGGACGGCCACAUUGGGACUGAGACACGGCCCAAACUCCUACGGGAGGCAGCAG